AUACUUACCUGGCAGGGGAGAUACCAUGAUCACGAAGGUGGUUUUCCCAGGGCGAGGCUUACCCAUUGCACUCCGGAUGUGUUGACCCCUGCGAUUUCCCCAAAUGUGGGAAACUCGACUGCAUAAUUUGUGGUAGUGGGGGACUGCGUUCGCGCUUUCCCCUG
This 164-nucleotide small nuclear RNA is filed under the name Colobus angolensis palliatus. RNAcentral describes it as "U1 spliceosomal RNA (ENSCANG00000000130.1)". It matches the Rfam family "U1 spliceosomal RNA". From Rfam's summary of the family: U1 is a small nuclear RNA (snRNA) component of the spliceosome (involved in pre-mRNA splicing). Lineage: Eukaryota; Metazoa; Chordata; Mammalia; Primates; Cercopithecidae. The record is from Rfam by way of RNAcentral.